CUCAAAACCAGGUUUCGCUCGAGAGCCGUGGAAGACGACCACGUCGAUAGGCCAGGUGUGUAAGCGCAGCAAUGCGUUGAGCUUACUGGUCCUAAUCGCUCGAUUGAAACACUUGA
RNAcentral lists this ribosomal RNA (116 nucleotides) under Alphaproteobacteria bacterium. Its description in RNAcentral is "partial 23S ribosomal RNA". It matches the Rfam family "Bacterial large subunit ribosomal RNA", at positions 2798 to 2925 of the family's 2925-position model. Lineage: Bacteria; Pseudomonadati; Pseudomonadota; Alphaproteobacteria. The record is from RNAcentral. RNAcentral also lists the same sequence under 1 other name.